This 3749-nucleotide long non-coding RNA is filed under the name Gossypium barbadense (sea-island cotton). Its description in RNAcentral is "long non-coding RNA (GBAR_LNC013790)". The record is from RNAcentral. Lineage: Eukaryota; Viridiplantae; Streptophyta; Magnoliopsida; Malvales; Malvaceae.
GAAAUUUUGCUAUUUUUUCUCCCACGCCUUAAGUGUGUCGUCCAACCUAGUGAAAACCUUAGAUAUAUAAGUUAUUUAUUUUAUUCUUUUCUUCUUUUCUCAAUUCUUUCCUUACCCUAGCUGUUCCUCUCCUCUCUCUCUCUCUGAUUUUCUCUCUAUUUUUCUCCUUUCUUCUUCCUUGUGUCGUCCCUAGCUGGGUGAUUUUCACCAUUGUUGUACUGCCUUAUUGCUCUAUUACCUGGUUACAAUUCCUCCAUCCUUAUUGCUGGCAUUUUUAAUCACCAAAUAGCCUCUUUUCUUCCCUAAAACCCUCCUUUGAGCCACUUAAAUCAGCCUCUCCUUGCUGCCAUUAGACCUCCAUUUUCUCCCCAUUUUCUCCACUCGUGGUGUACUGGUUGUUUCCUUUUGCUUCUCGAUUCUUGUUCUGUUGCUUGUCAAUUUUUGUUGCUGUUUUUAGAACCAUUUUAUUACUGUUUCCAGCCUCUAAAAUUCAUCCCCUUUGGAUCCAAAAACUAUUUUUGUGCCGCCCCAAAUCAACCACAUUCUUACUGCCGCUUGUGGUGGUGUGCGACCCAUCAGUGUACCACUUAUAGGCUACAAUUUUUCUCUUCUUUUUCCUCCCAUUGCAAUAGUGUUCUACUCAUUUUUCCUUUAUUUAAAACAACCCUUAAAAUUCUUAAUUAAGUCUGUAUAUGAUCCUAUUCAUCUGACAUCUCAGAUCUAGUUAUCGGGUGUAAGCGCAGUUCUAUGCGAGAUCUUGCGUUGUUUUUAUUUCACUUAUAGUUGUUGCCAUGGUCGAAUGCUCUGAGGCCAUAACGUGAUUUUCAGUUACUAAUAUUUAAGUAUUCUUUCAAUCUUAGGUACUUAUUUGAACGUGUCGAAUCAGCAGUAAAGUCGGAUUUCAUUCGUGCCCUUGUUUCGCAUCAAAUCAAUGUAAGUUACCGUGACAAUUUGGAUCUGAAAAUUUGUUGGUGUAACACUGAUUUGGCCAAGCCCUUAGGGGCUAUUUCAAGGCUAUUUUUAAUAGUAUUUUAACUCAUUAAAUGCUAUAAAUUGGUUUUAGACAUGUUUAAGGUUUUAAUGUGGUAGUGCAGACUUUGCGGAUUAGUGCUAGGGACUUGUGAAUUGAGGUGUGGGUCUUUUCCUUUGUUUAAUUAGUCUAAAAUUCGCAUAAAAUAUGUUUAAAUGAAAAAUUUUCUUGCUGGUUAUUGAAUGGCUGAAUGGCCUAAUUGCUAAUAAAAGAGGUGUCGAGCUAGGCACGUACACUAAUUGAAAGCUGAUUGUUAAAGGCCCUGUUGGGACCGAUUGUGAUGUGUAUGAGCUCAGUGUGAUUUAUGCCUUUGUGCUGUAAUUUGUUAAUAGUAUAUUUGGUAUAUCAAAUCUUUGUUUGCUAAGUUCUAUUGAAAAUAUGUGAAUUGUAUGCAUGUAUAGCAUGCUGAAUUUUGAGACACUAAUUGAUGUGCAUGUCAAAUGCCAUGUAUGAUAUUGAGCUUGUAUGUAUUUAUAAUUAUAUACCUUAUGUGAAAAAGGACUGCAUGGAAAGGAUGUAUGCAUGCUACUGUUUCUAUAAAUGAAAAGUAUGCAAGGCAUAUACCGACACUGACUAUUGAUACGCAUGUUAAGCAUGCCAUUGUACUGAGAUUGAAAAUGAUAGCAUGGUUUGCUCACUAAUUGUAUGCCAUUUUGCAAUAUGCAUGGGGUGGGUUAUUGUGGUUUGCGAAGGAGUUUCGUGGAGUAUCGGUAGUAGUUAAGGUUCGCAUUAUUAUUGUUAGUGCACAACAUCGGAAGUACCAAGGAGAUUGACGAUUUUAUUGCAUUAUUGGUAGCUUGUCCUCACUAUUGGCCAUUUAUCUGCAUUACCGAUACUGGUGGCUUGUCCACAGUACUGGUUGCUUGUCUGCAUAUAUAUUGCACUUUAUUUGCACUAAUGUACUGAUGGUUUAUCCACAUCGAGCUUCGGCUCACACUAUUUGGUCUUUGGUAGAUGGGUUCUGGGGAACUUGUGGUAUGUAACGAAUGGUAGGGUAGGAACAUUUGCAUUGCAUCAUUUGCAUCAUACCAUGCUCAUACAUCAUUCGUUAAUUGCUAUGAACUUUUAUUGAUGGCACUUAUUAAUGAACUGCUAAGUUUGAAAUGGUUACUGUAUUGAUGAUUCUAUAAUUUACUGUAAUUGAACCAGUAUCUGUGUAAAUAACUUGUUUGACUCACAUUGACCUUCAUAAGCUCACUCCCCGACAGUGUUUAACUUUUCAGGUAAACCUUGAAACUAGGACCGACCUCGGCAUACAGAGCGUCGCCUCAGACAACAGACUAUUUUUUUAAAUAAGUAUUAUUAAUAUGUCUCUAUUGGUUUUGGUUUAUAAUUUUUAAUGUCUUUGGUUUGUGUCUUGAUUAUUUUUUAUUUGGGGAGUUUUGCAUGCAUGGAUUACUUAAGCAUAAUAAUAGGGAAAUGCAUUAUAUCUGGCUUAAAUAAAAUUUGACAUUAUUCUCCAAUUUUAGCUGCAUUGUAAAUAAAUCAUUUUUGAAAAAAAAAUCGUUAAGGCAACUAGAUUCCUAAAAGGACAUGAAUAAUGGUUUUCUUGUUGCAUUAGUUAACAUCGAGUUUUUACAAAGUAGAGCGACAAACAAAUAAUAUUUCUAAAACAUCAUUUUCAACACUAAAAUGAAUCUUAAGUACAGAUGACCUAAUAAAUGAAUGGUUUUUAAACUAACUCAAAGUACAACCAUAAUUUUUUUAUCUAAAAUGAGUUGAUUUAAGGUAGUCAAAAGUAUCGUAAGUUAGCUUAGUCAUUUUGGUGGCUAAUGCAAUUUUCAUAAUUUGACCAUAAAGUCUAAGCUGAGUUAGAGAGGUUACACUUAGUGGUAUCAAAUCCAGGUUCUUAAAAUCAACCUAAAGUUUUAAAAGGGUCUGCAUGCAUUCAUUGGGGUAUUUUGGAAAAAACAAGCCACAAAAAGUUUCGAAAAUGAUUUUCUUUAAAGAAAAACAAGUCCAAGACUUCGAUACUGGUUGCCGUAGACAUAUAACCCUAAACGCUAGGAGUGUAUUGCUGUAUAACUUAAAUAAUUAGUGAUUAUGUUUUUUUGAAAUUGUAAGAUAAGAAACUGAAAACAACUGAAAUUAACUAGUGAAUAAUUUUUUGAAACUAUAGAUGAAACUUAAGAUCGUAAACUAAAUAAUUAACAAUCGUAGUAUGACGAACCUUGGGGCUCAGCAUCGAGCUACCCAAGUUGAGUCAAGUGAGCAAGAGACCGGGGAUGAUGCGGUGUCUCGAGCAAUGUUAGGAGUCUUAGAAAAGGUUUUCAAGAUUAUGGUUGAGAAGAAUAAGUUAGGGAAAGAGAGUUAAUGCUUGGAGCGGAAGAGAAAUGAAAGAGUUUUUUACAAAAUUAUUAUAAAAAAAUAAAAAAUAACUAAAAUAUUAUAACUUUUUUUUAUUUAUCAAAAUAUUAUAAUUUUUUUAUUUAUCAAAAUAUACAAAAAAAAUAAAAAAAAAACUUGACACAGCCUGAUCAGGCCAAUUACAUUGGCAGUAUCAAAGGUGCCAAUGUGAUUGGUGGCACCAAUGGUGCCAAUGUGAUUGGUGGCACCAAUGGUGCCAAAGGACUAAAAUGUUAGUUAAGGGUAGUUUCAAGGACUUGACAUGCAAAUUUAUCAUUUUGAAUUUUGAAAGUUAAUUGCUGCUGCUGUGCGCACUAAAAUUAAAAUAUGGCUAAUUGCCUUCUAAGCACUCAUUAUUUAUUAUUUUCUUUUU